GCCUGGGUGGCUCAGUCGGUUGAGCCUCUGGCUUUGGCUCAGAUCAUGACCUCAUGGUUAGCAGGUUCAAGCCCUGCCUCAGGUU
This 85-nucleotide transfer RNA is filed under the name Felis catus (domestic cat). It matches the Rfam family "tRNA". From Rfam's summary of the family: Transfer RNA (tRNA) molecules are approximately 80 nucleotides in length. Lineage: Eukaryota; Metazoa; Chordata; Mammalia; Carnivora; Felidae. RNAcentral also lists the same sequence under 4 other names. The record is from Rfam by way of RNAcentral.